RNAcentral lists this unclassified non-coding RNA (328 nucleotides) under Hevea brasiliensis (rubber tree). The record is from RNAcentral. Lineage: Eukaryota; Viridiplantae; Streptophyta; Magnoliopsida; Malpighiales; Euphorbiaceae.
GGGGAGACCGUGGUUGUGGGGUUGGGGAGGAAGAGGAAACCCUGCAUCAUAUAGACAUAAUCAGAGAAAACACACACACUACAUUUUAUAAAUUCAUCAAUAAGGCCCUGUUGAGUAACUGACAAUAAUGGCCAAUAAAGCUCGGAUAGUUCACAAUUAUGGUGAUCAUGUAGUUAACAGACGCAAUUCUAUUAAUCACAAUUACAUGUUCGUAGAAGGCUACAAUUAGAUACAAUUAGAGCUCAUCCAACAAUUCUAGCGAUCAGCUAGAAUUAUCAUUGAAUUAAGAUAUUGAAUUUAUUUACAGCCACACCAAUGUAAAGAGGAA